This 689-nucleotide long non-coding RNA is filed under the name Mus caroli (Ryukyu mouse). RNAcentral describes it as "lncRNA (MGP_CAROLIEiJ_G0005835.1)". Lineage: Eukaryota; Metazoa; Chordata; Mammalia; Rodentia; Muridae. The record is from RNAcentral.
AAACUGUGGUCCCAAGUCUCUGUCCUUCAGGACACAGAUGGAUAAGCAAGGCACAAACCAGGCUCCAAGACUAUGAGUCUCAUGUGGAGAAGGUGAGCCACCAGGACCUUCAACCUUGGGGACGUAAGAAGGUAGAUUUAGGAUGAGGGAGAAGUCGUCUUGCCCAAAGAUCAGUUUAUUCCAUUGAAGAAACAAGCAGUCUAUGAGAGGACGUGCUCAGCAGGCUGGAGGGAUGCCUCGUGGUGGCGCCCAUGGUGGGCUUUGAUCCAGUAGACCUCUGACUUGCCCUUUGGCCUCCUCCAGCCCCUGCCCCAACCCUGCCGACACUCUCUGCGAAGGGAACAUAUCACUAGUCCCCCAGGGCCUGACACACAGCUGAUGAUCACAGAUGAAGCUGUUUCCAGCCUGUCUGUCCCCUCAGCAUUGACUGGCACGUGACAUAUACCUCAUCAUAGAGCCACAUGUGCCAGCCCUUCCCACAGAUCACGGUGCCUUUAUACUCCCUGCAUCUGAUUGGAACUCCCGACUGACGUCUUGAGUAUUGACACAUGCCAGGGAAGUGUUCUCCCCAGAAGUUGGCCUGUCCUUGCUAGUGCUCCAUUUCCAUUGACUUGGGAGGCUAGCACAUCCAUUCUUCCCACUCAGAAAACACUGUGAAGAUUCCUCUAGUGCAGGCUCUCCAUCCUAUU